AGCGCGAUUUACAAGGCAAAAGUUAGAAAGCAUGGCUCCGUCUGUUUCCGAAACAUUGAGAUUUCUAAAGAUAAAGGUAUAUUUGAACAUGUACUGCGCAUUUUCGUUAACUUUUGAUUUCACGCGAUUUUAAAACUUGAUUAACGUGUUAUUCUGCCAUGUAAUUAUAUUGGUAAGAUAGAUUUAUUGACUCUUAUUUGACAGCAAAUCAAAUAUAAAUAUGAAAAUAUCUCUACAAUAUGAUAUUAUUUUACAAUAUUUUACAUUUGCAUAAUAUGUAUAAUUGUUAAAUCGCGAAAAUAAACUUUCUAAAAAGAUAUAGAUGAAAAUAAUGUAUAUUAUCAUAUUAUUCAAUGAUUGGACCAUGAUGAUUAAAUCCCACAGAAUCAUAUAUGCAGGUAAACGUAAUUUAAUCUAACAAUAUGAUACAAUACAAGAGAAUCAUUAUUUCAAAGUGCGAAACAACAUGGUAGACAGUUAGUUUUUAAUCAAGAAGGAAAUAUAUAAUACGGUAUUAUAUAUGUGGUAGUAGAAAAAUCAUGGCAGUGAAAGGACAGUGUAUAAGUAAAGUGACGAGAAGAAGCGUCGAGUCGUGUGUGAGAUCUGCAGGAACACGAGAUAACGGUGUGUAAUGAGGACAUUCUUGAAAGCAGUCGAAAUGCAAUCUCUGCACAGCCGACAAAUUGUCUGAGAACAGUGUCGUUCUCAGAGCUGGGCUAGAGGCUGCCAUCAGCCGUAAUUAAUUGUAAUUACGGAUAAUUAGCGGGAUCCCUAACUCUUAUGUAAUCAGAUCCCACUGUUUCGUAUGCAGAAAUGGAUGAAUGGAUGUACAGAGAAUAACGUCAUUUUGAAAAUUAGGAUAUUAAUUGUUCUGCUGAUUAUUACAUAAAAUAUAAACAAUAUAGAAUUUAAUAGAUGUAAAAUUUUGGCUAUUUUACCAUAUUGAGAAAUUUUUAAUAAUUUUCUGCAUUAUAGAGAAUUUGUAUAACUUUGUUCAAGAAUUCAUUACUUAUAAUUCUUUCAUUAAUCAAUCACUAUAUAAAAGCAUCUUGAAAUCUAUAUUCUUUAAAUUACUUUUAUUUAGCUUCACUAAUUUAAUUUUUGAGCAAAAAUACAUUGCUUUAUCAAUAAUAAUCUUCUAAACUUCGCUCAAUUUUCAAUUCAAAAAUCAUUGGCUUCAUAAAAACUACUAAACUAAAAGAAAACUUCCCAGGAAAGACAAUAAAAAAACAUGAAAGUCGUAAAAAAUUUUUCCUUAAGAAGGAAAAAAUCCAAAAAAGUAAAGGAAUGUUCCAAAGCUAUAAAACUUUGGUAGCUGAAGAAAAGAAACUUCUUUCAAAUGUAUUCUUUAUCGACUAUUCCAGACUAACUAAUGUCGAACACCUGCAGCCAUCCCAUUGAAAUGCUCCCGCCAAACGCUCGAUGGAUCGAUGGAACCUCGAUGAAUUCAUAUCACUUCCCGUCAGAACGGAAACGCCGUGGAUGGAAUAACUGAACGAUUGGAAACGCGUCUACGCUUGUAAGCGAUCGUUUCCUUGCAACUAGGCGGGGCAUCCUCAUCGAUGCAUCCCCGUGCCAAAAAGAUGCGUGUCUUCAAUGUUUAACGAUGGAAUCGAUGGAGUGAAUUCAGAUCACCACGACACGGCUAUCAUUCUAAAUUGAACGCUUUUUCCCUUUUGCGUUCUCUCUCUUGGCAACCGGUCUUGAUCGGAUCGCCAUGGUUCCACGAGCCAAUUUACCAGGCAACAGGUGAUGAGUUAACACGAUACACGGUCUAGAAUGAUAGAGUUUAAUGUAGUGGAACUUGACCUGAGCUGGUUGCCAGGAGAAACAAUAUGAUAGUGAGAAGAGAAAAUAGUUUGGUCGGACAAAUGAGUAAGUAAAUGAUAAAAAUGAUAUCGAAGAAUAAUUGUUGGCGACUGGAUAAAAAUAUUUUCUUUAGUUCGUUGACAUCGAGACGAUCGUGGUCUGUUAAUUUCUUCUAACUGAAAAUAAAUAAUAAGAAUGUUUAAAAGCCAUACUCAUUGAAUAAUUGAUUUAAUUGAAAUACACAAAAAGUCACUUGACCAUUGAAAGAUCAUCGUUUAAACAGUGCCAAUCAAACCUCGGCGAGAAAGUUCA
Apis dorsata (giant honeybee) is the source of this 2121-nucleotide long non-coding RNA. RefSeq lists it as uncharacterized. The transcript is spliced from 5 exons. The record is from RefSeq and is a predicted model, not a curated record. Lineage: Eukaryota; Metazoa; Arthropoda; Insecta; Hymenoptera; Apidae.